CGCACGGGUGAGUAACGCGUAUGCAACCUACCUAUCAGACGGGGAAUAACCCGGCGAAAGUCGGACUAAUAACCGCAUAAAACAGGGACACCGCAUGGUGAUAUUUGUUAAAGAAAUUCGCUGAUAGAUGGGCAUGCGUUCCAUUAGGUAGUUGGGUGAGGUAACGGCUCACCAAGCCGACGAUGGAUAGGGGAACUGAGAGGUUGGUCCCCCACACUGGUACUGAGACACGGACCAGACUCCUACGGGAGGCAGCAGUGAGGAAUAUUGGUCAAUGGGCGAGAGCCUGAACCAGCCAAGUCGCGUGAAAGGAAGAAGGAUCUAUGGUUCGUAAACUUCUUUUGCAGGGGAAUAAAGUGCAGGACGUGUCCUGUUUUGUAUGUACCCUGAGAAUAAGGAUCGGCUAACUCCGUGCCAGCCGCUGC
RNAcentral lists this ribosomal RNA (425 nucleotides) under uncultured bacterium. Its description in RNAcentral is "bacterial SSU rRNA". It matches the Rfam family "Bacterial small subunit ribosomal RNA", at positions 99 to 518 of the family's 1533-position model. The record is from RNAcentral.